Molecule: ribosomal RNA, 267 nt
Filed under: Triticum aestivum (bread wheat)
Lineage: Eukaryota; Viridiplantae; Streptophyta; Magnoliopsida; Poales; Poaceae
Description: partial small subunit ribosomal RNA
Source: RNAcentral
AUGCGGCGGUCGUCGAGCGGGGCGCGCGUGUCGGAGGGCGGCGACGCGUCCUCGUCCUCGUCGGGCCACCACGGCGACGGCACGGCGCUCCCGACGUUCGACCCGCAGUCGGCGGCGGGCCGGCGGGAGGCGGCGCGGACCCGGGCGCUGGGGCGCGCCGUGCACUUCAUCCCGCUGUUGCUGCUGCUCUGCGCCCUCGUGCUCUGGCUCUCCGCCGCCUCCACCUCCCCGGUUCACCUCGCUUUGCAAAUAAAGAAAAUGCCCUAG